AAGUCGUAACAAGGUUUCCGUAGGUGAACCUGCGGAAGGAUCAUUAACAAAUCAUGAUUGUAAGGUGACGCUUCGGCGUCCUUUACAAAUACACCCCAAGCCUGUAGCGCAAGCUCGGGCUUUCGGUUUUGACAGGCCCUCGGGUCGGUCACAUAGACGCUUGUAUAUGUUUGACAGAGUUAUUGUUUGCAAUUUAAAAAUGACAACUUUUAACAAUGGAUCUCUUGGCUCUU
RNAcentral lists this unclassified non-coding RNA (233 nucleotides) under fungal sp. RNAcentral describes it as "partial internal transcribed spacer region". The stretch from base 1 to 46 matches the Rfam family "Eukaryotic small subunit ribosomal RNA", at positions 1786 to 1831 of the family's 1831-position model. Lineage: Eukaryota; Fungi. The record is from RNAcentral.